GCCGAGGUCCUCUUCUAGGAUUGGUUGUCCACUCAUAACCAUAAGAUAAUUAAAACGGGGGGGGGCAGGGUAAAAAAAAAACCCUUUUAUCAGCCAUAGGUUAAUGCAAGUGUUUAACAGAUGCUUCGCUAUUAAAAUAUUUCCCCCCAAUACUGAAGAAUCUUAAACCAGCAACCCUAACAGAGAUUGCGAAGAUUUUCAAAGUGGGGCACCUCGAUUUCUCGAAUCUGUGGUGUGGCGAAUAUCCGUGUUCCUCCUGCUUAACUAGCCUGUUUGAAGGCACAGUUCAUUCUCGAGCAAUUCGUCACCUCCUGGGGGUCUUCUCUUCCCGUCUACAGGAGAGUGUGACUUCAGAAAGAACUUCGGAUUGGCCAAGGCAGGUCUGAUUCUAUUUAUUCUAAAGACAGAGUUGGAGAUGGGCUACCAUUGGUGUUGAUUGAGAUGACAAGCAGUCACCUGAGCCCAUACAGCUGGGUUCACAGAUGUGGCUAGUCUUGCUAGCCAGCUCGCACUGUGGACAUUCUAGGGAACUGACUGCAGUCCUCAUGCUUGGAGUCAAACACUUUAACCACUGCACACGUUUAUGUAAUAGGAUUGACAUAUGAGAAUCAGAGAAAUGAAUGAAAGAUUAGAGUGGGAGAAAGUGCUUGCUGCCAAGCUUGAUGACCUAAAUUGAAUACCUGGAACCUACACGACAGAAAGAGAGAGCUGACUGCUGAAAGAUGUCCUCAGAUCUUCACAUGUGCACAGUGGCACCUAUCCAACCAUGCACAUAGUAUAUUAAAAAUUAUUUUUUAAAAAAUCCA
Mus musculus (house mouse) is the source of this 806-nucleotide long non-coding RNA. RefSeq annotates it as Hand2, opposite strand 1. The record is from RefSeq and is marked validated. The transcript has 6 exons. Lineage: Eukaryota; Metazoa; Chordata; Mammalia; Rodentia; Muridae.